GGAAGCAACCUGCCGUAUAUCAUUGGCAAAAACACUAAAAACUUCCUUAACCUCUGAAACCUCAUUGCAAGCCAAGUCAUUUGUCCCUAGAUGGACAAGUACAUAAAAUUCCCCUUCCUGCUUUGCUUGCUUAACAAUAUUACAGAUACGUCUCCUGUCUCUGUGAGUAGUAGCUCCGGGAAGACAUCUCACAAGACCACCAUUGUCCAUCUAGAGACUUGUCCAUCUAGAGACAAAAGAGUUGGCUUGCAAUGAGGUUUCAGAGGUAAAGGUAGUUUUUGGUGUUUUUGCCAAUGACUUGCAGCAGCUUGCUUUC
Molecule: non-coding RNA, 316 nt
Organism: Pelobates cultripes (western spadefoot toad)
Lineage: Eukaryota; Metazoa; Chordata; Amphibia; Anura; Pelobatidae
Source: the annotation of a GenBank genome assembly